Molecule: long non-coding RNA, 310 nt
Organism: Xiphophorus hellerii (green swordtail)
Lineage: Eukaryota; Metazoa; Chordata; Actinopteri; Cyprinodontiformes; Poeciliidae
Exons: 3
Source: RefSeq, a predicted model, not a curated record
AUUACUGACUAAACUUUAAAAAUGUUGUAGCUUUAUGUUAUUAAAGGUAAAGUUUAAUCAGUAAUACUUUUAUAACAACUUUAUGUCGGAUCAUGAUUUGUUGGUUUAUGUCAAGUUGUCAUAAUGAAGACAUUUUGAAUAAUGUCAACUUUGUAUUAAAAGUGUCAUGAUUUACAGAAUGACACUUUAUGACAACAGUCAUAAAUAUUCAUGAAGACUUACUCAUGUUCAUGUUAUGUCGUGUUUAUGACGGUGUAAUGACAGUGUUAUUCACAACCCGUCAAAUAAAGUCUUACAAAACUUUUUAGCA